AAUGUUCAGACUAGCAUGCAUGUCUAAGUAUAAAUGAUAUACAGUGAAACUGCGAAUGGCUCAUUAAAACAGUUAUAGUUUAUUUGGUAAUCGAAUUUACAUGGAUAACCGUGGUAAUUCUAGAGCUAAUACAUGCUGUAAAGCCCGACUCAACGGAAGGGCCGUAUUUAUUAGAUAACAGACCAAUAUUCCUCGUGUCUAUUGUGGUGAAUCAUAGUAACUAAUCGGAUCGCAUGGGCUAGUCCCGCGACAAACCAUUCAAGUUUCUGCCCCAUCAGCUUUCGAUGGUAGUGUAUUGGACUACCAUGGCUUUUACGGGUAACGGAGGAUUAGGGUUCGAUUCCGGAGAGGGAGCCUGAGAAACGGCUACCACAUCUAAGGAAGGCAGCAGGCGCGUAAAUUACCCAAUCCUAAUUCAGGGAGGUAGUGACAAGAAAUAACGGGUCGGGGCUAUGCCCCGGGACUGCAAUGAGAUGAAUUUACACCCCUUUUCGAGUAAC
RNAcentral lists this ribosomal RNA (500 nucleotides) under uncultured eukaryote. RNAcentral's name for it is "SSU rRNA". It matches the Rfam family "Eukaryotic small subunit ribosomal RNA", at positions 34 to 545 of the family's 1831-position model. The record is from RNAcentral.